CAGUUCCUAGGAAAUUCCAGUAUCACAGCCGAGAUUCCUUGGGAGCCUGAAGCUGUAAGAGCAGUGUGGGAUAGAGUACACCAAAUUGAAAACUACAGACAUGAUUCAGGUCCAAUGGGAAACUCAAAAACAGAAUCUCAAAAAGAUGACCUGUCCCACAGUGAUCUUCUAGUGGCCACAGCAAACCUCCAACCUAGCAGCUGUGCUUAGAGAUGGGCCUACUGAGGACCUGUACAUUUUCUUCAUGAACCCCGGGAAGACCAAGUUUUGAUCCGUUUUUACCCGGGAUGCUGUGUUUAUCCUGCUUAGCUGCUAUCCUUUGUAGCUUCCUUGAAAUGUUCCUGAACCUGCCUCUCCAAAUUGACACAUAGGCCAAGGGAGAAACUCUUCAUGAAGUUAAACAGCAAUCUGCACAUGUAUUUGAACUUUGGGCCCAGAAGAUUCUCUAGCAAUCCUAUGGAAAAAUCUACGUUGUAUCUUUAGCAGGAAGGAGUGCUGGGACUUGGUUCCAGAACGCUACACAUGGGAGGGAAGCCAUCUGCACAAUUCAUUGUAAUUUCUUCUGAUUGUACUUACAUGACUCAGUUUUUGCUUGUGCAGGAGGAUUAUAAUAAACAGUACCGAUUUCAA
This is a long non-coding RNA of Mesocricetus auratus (golden hamster), 630 nucleotides long. RefSeq lists it as uncharacterized. The transcript has 6 exons. The record is from RefSeq and is a predicted model, not a curated record. NCBI's taxonomy places the organism in Eukaryota, Metazoa, Chordata, Mammalia, Rodentia, Cricetidae.